CACGGAGUUAGCCGGUGCUUAUUCCUAAGAUACCGUCAUAAUCUUCUCUUAGAAAAGGAGUUUACAAUCCGAAGACCUUCAUCCUCCACGCGGCGUUGCUGCUUCAGGGUUUCCCCCAUUGAGCAAUAUUCCCUACUGCUGCCUCCCGUAGGAGUCUGGACCGUGUCUCAGUUCCAGUGUGUCCGAUCACCCUCUCAGGCCGGAUACCCGUCAUAGCCUUGGUGAGCCAUUACCUCACCAACAAGCUGAUAGGACAUAGGCUGAUCCCAUAGCGAAAAAACUUUCCCCUCUCGGGAGUAUCCGGUAUUAAUCACCGUUUCCAGUGGCUAUUCCAGACUAUGGGGCACAUGACCUAUGCAUUACUCACCCGUGCGCCACUAAUCAGCAAAGUAGCAAGCUACUUCCUGUUACCGUUCGACUUGCAUGUAUUAGGCACGCCGCCAGCGUUCACUCUGAGCCAGGAUCAAACUCU
This 472-nucleotide ribosomal RNA is filed under the name uncultured Wolinella sp. Its description in RNAcentral is "partial 16S ribosomal RNA". The record is from RNAcentral. Lineage: Bacteria; Pseudomonadati; Campylobacterota; Epsilonproteobacteria; Campylobacterales; Helicobacteraceae.